Long non-coding RNA from Alosa alosa (allis shad), 968 nucleotides. RefSeq lists it as uncharacterized. The transcript has 3 exons. The record is from RefSeq and is a predicted model, not a curated record. NCBI's taxonomy places the organism in Eukaryota, Metazoa, Chordata, Actinopteri, Clupeiformes, Clupeidae.
GAGGGGGGGACCCCUGUACGAUUCCCGGUCUUUUCCUACCGCGGGUCUCCGCGAGCGCUCCCCCAGUUGCCACUGCGAGUCUGUGACAUAUUCGCGUGCCCUUGGAUCAUGGCACCGCCGUGCGCUGCAUGACUCACUUCAACCCCGUUCACCUGCUCGCGGAGACGUGCAGUUCCCGAGGAGGGCUGGAGAUCUCAGCUGAACAUCGCUCCGGUUACCGUCUGAAGUCGAGAGGUCGGAGAGACGAGAGACCCCGCUGCCUGGCGUCAGACUGACGAAUCGCCGGGGAAAUAAAACCGUGGCGCUGACUGUCGACAACACUUCAAGCUGAGUGUGGUUUUGGUGGCGAAUAACUGACAGGCACCGUGAUGACUGCAUCUGGAAGAAAGUGAGGGCUCUUGAUGCAUGAAUGGAACUCCGAGGCCCGUCAUGUUCCGUUGCCAUGGCACUGUAGUGGCGAGGUCGGAGCUCUGCCCAUCGUGUCGUCAUUGACCUUCGUGUUGGGGGUCACCCGCAUGGCCUCCCCCUGCCCCACUGAGGGUCCCAGCUGUGUCUGCACCCCCUCACAGACACCUCCCCUCACCUCCUCCUGCUCUUACACCUCCUCCUGCUCCUGCUGCUCCUCCUGGCUGGUGAGAUGAAGACAGCUAGCCGCACCGCGUCCCGCUGCAGUUCCCCUCCAGCCCAGAUGAGGCGCUAUCGAACCGGGGCUGGGCCGGGGGUGUACCCCUUCCUCUUCCCCUCGGUGAUCAGCAGCUUGCCCCCCCCCCAGACACUGCAGGCUCCCCGCACCCCCAGCGGCAGCAGCACCCCCUCUCCUGCAGCCUGUUUGAAAAAACAUACUUGGCCUUGCAGCUGCAGAGAUAAAGACGUCAUCGGAGGCGGACUCUACUCAAAACAGCCAGGAAGAGAGAAAACAAGUGAACGAUGUGUGACCUGUGAUCACUGUAUAAACCCCUGAACUUUGU